This 122-nucleotide ribosomal RNA is filed under the name Heliconius melpomene (postman butterfly). Lineage: Eukaryota; Metazoa; Arthropoda; Insecta; Lepidoptera; Nymphalidae. The record is from RNAcentral.
GCCAACGUCCAUACCACGUUGAACACACCGGUUCUCGUCCGAUCACCGAAGUUAAGCAACGUCGGGCGCGGUCAGUACUUGGAUGGGUGACCGCCUGGGAACACCGCGUGCCGUUUGCUCUU